RNAcentral lists this ribosomal RNA (830 nucleotides) under Entrophospora etunicata. Its description in RNAcentral is "eukaryotic LSU rRNA". It matches the Rfam family "Eukaryotic large subunit ribosomal RNA", at positions 1 to 649 of the family's 3401-position model. Lineage: Eukaryota; Fungi; Glomeromycota; Glomeromycetes; Entrophosporales; Entrophosporaceae. The record is from RNAcentral.
AAGUGUUUGGCCGAGAUCGUGAGUUUUUAUCAAAUGACCUCAAAUCAGGCAAGAAUACCCGCUGAAUUAAGCAUAUCAAUAAGCGGAGGAAAAGAAACUAACAAGGAUUCCCCUAGUAACGGCGAGUGAAGAGGGAAGAGCUCAAAUUUUAAAUCUGCCUUGUUCCAAGGUCGAGUUGUAAUUUGAAGAAGCGUUUUCUUGGGCUCGCGGCCGGUAGAAGUUCUUUGGAACAGGACAUCAUAGAGGGUGACAAUCCCGUCCGUGACCGGUCGUGCGUUCAUAUACGAUACGCUUUCAAAGAGUCGAGUUGUUUGGGAUUGCAGCUCCAAACGGGUGGUAAACAUCACCUAAGGCUAAAUAUUGGCGAGAGACCGAUAGCGAACAAGUACCGUGAGGGAAAGAUGAAAAGAACUUUGAAAAGAGAGUUAAACAGUACGUGAAAUUGUUGAAAGGGAAACGAUUGAAGUCAGUCGUGCUGGCGCGAAAUCAACCCUCUCGUCUUGAGAUCACAUGGCGCGACGAGCCUCAAAACCGUCACGAAGCGUGAACUCUUGACGAAAAGGUGCACUUUCGUGUCCGCUGGUUAACAUCAAUUUCGAACGUCAUAAAAAGGCUGGAGGGAUGUGGCUCCUUCGGGAGUGUUAUAACCUUUAGCGGAAUGUGGCGUUCGGGAUUGAGGAUUGCAACGAAUACCUUCAGGGCUGUUCCACCUGGCUUCUCAUUGGUAUCCUGGUGACGACAGCUUGCUGACGUCGUUAGGAUCAGCUUCUGAACAGGCUAGAGUGUGAGCAAAUUCGUUAAGGAUGUUAACGUAAUGGCUUUAAACGACC